RNAcentral lists this ribosomal RNA (459 nucleotides) under uncultured bacterium. RNAcentral describes it as "partial 16S ribosomal RNA". It matches the Rfam family "Bacterial small subunit ribosomal RNA", at positions 338 to 795 of the family's 1533-position model. The record is from RNAcentral.
CCUACGGGAGACUGCAGUGAGGAAUAUUGGUCAAUGGGAGAGAUCCUGAACCAGCCAAGCCGCGUGAGGGAAGACGGCCCUAUGGGUUGUAAACCUCUUUUGUCGGAGAACAAAACCAGGGACGAGUCCCGGACUGCGUGUAUCCGAAGAAAAAGCAUCGGCUAACUCCGUGCCAGCAGCCGCGGUAAUACGGAGGAUGCGAGCGUUAUCCGGAUUUGUUGGGUUUAAAGGGUGCGUAGGCGGUCUGUUAAGUCAGCGGUAAAAGUGCGGGGCUCAACCACGGCGAGCCGUUGAAACUGGCAGACUUGAGUUGGCGAGAAGUACGCGGAAUGCGCGGUGUAGCGGUGAAAUGCAUAGAUAUCGCGCAGAACUCCGAUUGCGAAGGCAGCGUACCGGCGCCAGACUGACGCUGAGGCACGAAAGCGUGGGGAUCGAACAGGAUUAGAUACCCCUGUAGUC